Molecule: long non-coding RNA, 1048 nt
Organism: Cebus imitator (Panamanian white-faced capuchin)
Lineage: Eukaryota; Metazoa; Chordata; Mammalia; Primates; Cebidae
Exons: 2
Source: RefSeq, a predicted model, not a curated record
AACUCCUAAGCGACUGCCUCCCGCCGCCCAGGUCCAGUGCCCUUUACACUACACGUCGGUUGCGAGGUUGCCCAAAGAGGUUCUGCCCCCAGGGGUCCUGAGCUUGGGGAAUGGACGGGGGCGGGCCUGACGGCUCAGGCUACGGCAGAGGAAAGUGGGGAAGCACGAGGAGUUAGGCUGGUUGGCUGUAGUGGAACGCAUUUGGCGCGGGGGAAAAGGCUGGGACCGGCCACGACUCCCCCGCCCCGCACAAACGCACGCGCGCCAGCCCGGUAGCCAGGGGUCGGCCCGGGUCAGAGGGCGCCGCCUGGGAGGUGGGGCUACGCUGGGAUCCACCAGGAACUAUAGCUCUGAGACUCCGUACCCUUGAUAAUGAGGUGCGCUGAGCCCGCGGUUCCCAGGGAGUCCCUCUUCUUGCUGCCACCGCCCGGGGCGGCCUCACAACCCACAGGGGUCUCUGUCCCUCCGCCACUCAUCCCGACCGGUUCCGCCCACCCGCGGUCGCGCUGCGCCUGCGCAAACGUGGCUGCCAGCUUACAGGACGCGCGCCGGUUUUUUUGCGUCAUCACAGGGCGCCGGAGAAAUUGAAUCUACCCAGAGGGCGAUUCCGGAAAGGCGCCUGCUGUGUAGCCAGGGUGUGACCUGGCAGAAGCUCGUGCCGCCAUGCUGGAUCAGGGCGGAUGCUGCUGGAAUAGGAAGAUGUUUGAACAUUGGAGCUAAACUCAGAGCCCUGGUUAUUUGACUCAAAGCUGGUGCAUUCCAAUACAGUUGUCUUCCCUUAUCUGCUGAAAAUACAUUCCAAGACCCCCAGUGGAUACCUGAAACUGCAUAUAGUACUGAACCAUUUAAUGAAACCACAGAAAGUGAAACCUCAGCUAAAGGAGGACUAUUGUAUAGCAAAGCCAAUCAGCUGGGGGCUGUUUCCCUACUAUGCCAUGAGAGUCGCAGACUAUUCUUGCCUUUCUUUUUAGACACCUGAUUCCUUGAAUGCUUUUCUUGCUCCUUCUACCUGUUCAAUUCAGUAAACUUUAUGCUCUGUAAUAAAGAA